This is a long non-coding RNA of Poecilia latipinna (sailfin molly), 870 nucleotides long. RefSeq lists it as uncharacterized. The record is from RefSeq and is a predicted model, not a curated record. NCBI's taxonomy places the organism in Eukaryota, Metazoa, Chordata, Actinopteri, Cyprinodontiformes, Poeciliidae. The transcript is spliced from 2 exons.
GUAUGACGUUUACGUCGGUCGGCGCCAUUUUUGGUGUCCACAGACCAAAACAAACUAGUUAGAACACCGGUGUUUUCUUUGCGUUACCGACCUAAGUGAAGUUGUUUUCAAGUUGGAUAUUGGAUAUUCGUGCUCCGCGGAGUAAGGCGCGUUUAGCUAAAGGUUGAUCUGAUUUAUGAAUGCUAAUUUCGGCCAGCUUUUCUCUACCGCUCCCUCCUCAAGGGCACCGCAGUGAAGUUAGUUUUAAGUUGGAUAUUCGAGCUCCGCGGAGUAAGCGGCAUUUAGCUCAAGGCUGAUCCGAUUUAUGAACGCUAAUGUUGGCCAGCUGUUCUCCACUGUUCCCGGUACUAUAGAUCAACUGGGGGCUAAAUCAACUGGUGGUGGCAGCUGGAAAAGACUGAUGUUUCUGUGGGCGUGGCUUUUUAGGACCCCUUUACCGAACCAGGAAGUAAACAAUGCGAUAAGCUUAAAGAACUACAAAUCUUUGCAAAAAUACUAUCCGAUUCCGUAAAACAACCACUAAGAUCUCGGGAAUAACUAAUUAAAAAGACUUUAUUGGUCUAAUAUGGUAUGUUGCCUUUUUUUUUUUAAAGUUCAUCUGCAAAACCAUCAAAACAUGUAAAUUACGCAGAACUUGUCCUGACUUAUGUGUUGCUUCAGAGGUUGAAACUCGUCAAAGGAAGAUCGAAAUAGAUCUCGAUGUGGCAUGAGCAGAUCUCAAAGCAAAGAUUAUUCCCUGAAAGCCGACAUAAAUGUUGAAGAGCCUUGGGAUUAAAAAUGAAAUGUUUAAAAAGAUCGACUGGCUGUGUAAUUUUUCCACAUAUUCCUCAUAUUGUGAUAUUUCAAAUAGGUAUCCACAGAAACUAUAGC